Sapajus apella (tufted capuchin) is the source of this 2321-nucleotide long non-coding RNA. RefSeq lists it as uncharacterized. NCBI's taxonomy places the organism in Eukaryota, Metazoa, Chordata, Mammalia, Primates, Cebidae. The record is from RefSeq and is a predicted model, not a curated record. The transcript is spliced from 7 exons.
ACUAUUUUUUAUAAUACAUGUUUGAAUGAAGCUAUAUGUUUAUUAAUUUAAUAAUUAAUAAAAUCUAAUAUAAAAGUAGCUUACUUCUGAGACUUUUAAAGGCUUUCCGCUUUCAACCAUUAUAUAAUAGGUUAGUUAUCUCUUCGUAGUUUUUGUCAGGCAAAUGGACCGAGGCCUAACACAGUACAGAUUUUAGAGGACAGAACAUUCUCUAAUGGUUUUAAACCUUUCAUAAUUAUAGCAAGCAACUUUCUUCAUUCUUUUACUACACUUAAGCUCUGGGUUUCUGUUCUUACAUAACCACUAUUGCUGUAUUUGGAUUCAACUGCUGAAAUCCAUUAUAGCAAUUAUGAAAUAUGCAAAAUUAUCAGUCUAGACAACGUGCUGAGAUUCAGGAAGAGGAAAACAAAUAGGAAAACCUUAAGAGUAGUCAGUCGGUAAGGGCUCCAAAGGAAAAACACAGUCUUCAUUUCUGCUUUUAGGUUUUUAUGUGGGGCCUAUGUACUUACCUCUCCUCCUCUGCCUCACCUUCUUACAGUCCAUCAAAAGAAUAAAAACGUAAAAAAAAAAAAAAAAAAAAGAAAAAGAAAACUGCUAUAGCACUACUGGAAAAGGGAGAGAAGUGUACCUGUCUACCAUUGACAUAUAAAAAAUGUAGAAGUUCUGGAGCAUGUGAAACACAGGGAACCACAUGGAGCCAAACUAAUCAGACUUGAAUAGCAGGAAAGAUCCUUCUAGGCUGGCUCAUCACCAUCUGGCUUAGAUUACCCCUGUUGGAUAGAGCUCUGGUCCCAGAACAUUCCUAUGCUGCUGUCAGUCUCCAAAGAGCUCUUCUGGAGUUAAUGCACAAAUCUCUGGUUCAAUCAGUUGCCACUGAUUUAAUGGAGAGGCCACCUUUAAACAAAUCUUACAGAGAAGAAGUGUGUUUUCCUUCACUUCAGGGAUCCUAAACGAGAGAAGGUGUGGGACCAGAACUGGACCACAGAGGCUCCAACAAGCCGCCUCUCCCUCUCCACACCCCACUCGGUCCUAAGACUCCGGAGGCACACAUCAGACUCCCAAAGUCAGGAAGUGGGGGAUGUGAGGUAGUUUGACAAUUCUCCCUUGAGAUGGGGUUUCUCCAUGUUGGUCCAGCUGGUCCUAAACUCCCGACCUCAGCAGCACCAUAGGGCAGUGACACCACCUUCUGCAAGAAGAGAAACUCUGAACCAAUUACAACAAUAUCAUUUCUGUGUCGAAACAUAAGUCAUUGGAAACCCACUGCAACCAUGCUUCUGUAAUAGCAGCUGGAACCUCCAAUUCUAGAAAGAAAAGAGGGAAGGAAGAAGAGAUGGGUCACUGGUGUCUUCCUACAACUUCAUAAAUCUGCUGAUAGUUGCCAAAUUUGGAAAGUCGUGUGAAAAGAGAUGGGCAGAGUAAGAAAGAUCAGAGGACAUCUUUGACAGUCACUUCUGAAUGUAUGCAGUAAACAUUGCAAGCCAGAUUAAUAGCAUGGAUGAAGAAACUGACCAGGUGUGAAACUCUCUUUGUUCUUAUCUCCCUAUUAAAGAUAUUCAUUGAGCUCCUUUUUCAGAUCAAGUUCUUUUUUUUUAAGUCAAAGGAUUUUGAGACAGCCAAGUUGGUGGAUAUGAGUGGUUCCUAAAUAGUGCUUCAUAUUAAUGUGACUAAAGAUCUGAACAUACUGAACUUUAAACAACAGAGGAAGAAACAGAACUAAUUUGUUCAAAGAAAUGCAGGUAUUCAGGCUGACACUCAGUAUGUGGAUUGACUAGAGCUACUAGAAAGCUGAAUUUUCUUCCAUCACUUGAAUGUUAUACCUCAUUCAAGUAGAACAUUGAUUUUAGAAAAUUUCAACAGUUUCCGCUAAAAACAAAGCCACAGUUUCAAAGAUGAUUCAAAGUUUUUGAGUGUCAAUUAUCUUCAAUUUUUUGCAAGUAUAUUUCUUGAGCUAGAAGCUGUGUGAAUUAUCAGGUACCCAUCUUUGAAGGAAGAAAGGAAAAUCUUUAAAUUCCUAGAAUUUUACUUUUUGAAAUGAGUAUAUUAAUCCUAGGAAUAUCCUUAUGUUUUUGGAACAUUUAAGCAGACUGUAGACCUAAGUCCAUGGCUUAUAUGUUCUCUUGCAUGAAAUUGAUGAAAUCAAAGUAAAAGCUAAUAUGACUUAUAAAAAAAACCUUGAGUCACAAAUGAGAUAUUCUCUAAUAGAAUUCAUUUCUAUGUACCUGCCACCAGGCCUCAAAAGUAUUUGCCUGUUAAUAUUUUGGUUAAACAUUUUUUUUUUUUUGUAACGUGACACAGUCUUGCUCUGCUACCCAAGAUGGAAU